This 289-nucleotide long non-coding RNA is filed under the name Ananas comosus (pineapple). RNAcentral's name for it is "long non-coding RNA (ACOM_LNC019983)". The record is from RNAcentral. Lineage: Eukaryota; Viridiplantae; Streptophyta; Magnoliopsida; Poales; Bromeliaceae.
AUAGGGGUAUUAAUCCUAUGUGAUUUAUGAGACAGAGUUUUGAAGACCUUGGCCAGGACUGAGUUAAUAGCGGAAAAGGGUUUCCGAUAUUGGAAACUCGAGUCGAAUAAAUUUAAUAUAUGACAGAUGAUGGGGUUUGACGAGUUAUUCCAUAACCUCCGUCUAGUCGGGACUCAUGAUAGAAGGAUUGUAUCACACGGUAACUGUACCAAGAGGUUCAGUAUUCCAUUCUACUGGAAUGCCACUACAUGCUGCUAGGCGUCACUGGUGGAUUGUGAGACUCAUGAGA